UACAGAAGGUGCGAGCGUUAAUCGGAAUUACUGGGCGUAAAGGGUGCGUAGGUGGUUUUGUAAGUUAGAGGUGAAAGCCCGGGGCUCAACUCCGGAAUUGCCUUUAAGACUGCAUCGCUAGAAUUGUGGAGAGGUAAGUGGAAUUCCGAGUGUAGAGGUGAAAUUCGUAGAUAUUCGGAAGAACACCAGUGGCGAAGGCGACUUACUGGACACAUAUUGACGCUGAGGUGCGAAAGCGUGGGGAGCAAACAGG
RNAcentral lists this ribosomal RNA (253 nucleotides) under uncultured bacterium. RNAcentral describes it as "partial 16S ribosomal RNA". It matches the Rfam family "Bacterial small subunit ribosomal RNA", at positions 524 to 776 of the family's 1533-position model. The record is from RNAcentral.